RNAcentral lists this ribosomal RNA (478 nucleotides) under uncultured bacterium. Its description in RNAcentral is "partial 16S ribosomal RNA". It matches the Rfam family "Bacterial small subunit ribosomal RNA", at positions 28 to 507 of the family's 1533-position model. The record is from RNAcentral.
GAUGAACGCUGGCGGCGUGCUUAACACAUGCAAGUCGAACGAGAAGUGAAGACGGAAACCUUCGGGCGGAAGGCUUUAUUUCGAGUGGCGGACGGGUGAGUAACGCGUGGGUAACCUGCCUCAUACAGGGGGAUAACAGUUGGAAACGACUGUUAAUACCGCAUAAGACCACAGCUCCGCAUGGUGCGGGGGUAAAAACUCCGGUGGUAUGAGAUGGACCCGCGUUCGAUUAGCCAGUUGGCGGGGUAACGGCCCACCAAAGCGACGAUCGAUAGCCGAUCUGAGAGGAUGACCGGCCACAUUGGGACUGAGACACGGCCCAAACUCCUACGGGAGGCAGCAGUGGGGAAUAUUGCACAAUGGGGGAAACCCUGAUGCAGCGACGCCGCGUGAGUGAAGAAGUAUUUCGGUAUGUAAAGCUCUAUCAGCAGGGAAGAAAAUGACGGUACCUGAGUAAGAAGCCCCGGCUAACUACGUG